Molecule: ribosomal RNA, 253 nt
Filed under: uncultured bacterium
Lineage: Bacteria
Description: partial 16S ribosomal RNA
Rfam family: Bacterial small subunit ribosomal RNA
Source: RNAcentral
UACGUAGGGGGCGAGCGUUGUUCGGAAUUACUGGGCGUAAAGGGCGCGUAGGCGGCCGAUCAAGUCAGAUGUGAAAGUCCUGGGCUUAACCUGGGGACUGCAUUUGAUACUGAUUGGCUUGAAUGCAGGAGAGGAUAGCGGAAUUCCCAGUGUAGAGGUGAAAUUCGUAGAUAUUCGGAAGAACACCAGUGGCGAAGGCGGCUCACUGGACCGGUAUUGACGCUGAGGUGCGAAAGCGUGGGGAGCAAACAGG